UAUAAGCCUCACUGGGUCAGUAUGUAAUCUAUUUCUUUUUAAUAGUGUUGGACUAGUUACUUCUAUUAGACCCGAAGCCAGGUGAUCUUUCCAUGGCCAGAUUUAUAACGGAUCGUACGGGUGAAUGUUGCAAAAUUCUCCGAUGAGCUUUGGAAAGUUGUGAAAUGCAAACCUAACCUGGUGAUAGCUGGUUUUCUACGAAACAUAUUUAAGUAUGACGUCUACACAAGAUUUAUGAUGGUACAGUACGGCAGUUUCAAAAUAGUAAUAAUUGAAUUCAAUUAUUAUGACUUAAGUAUGAGGGGGCCUAGAAAUCUUACCGUUGGAAGUGAAACUCGAAAUAACAUAAAUUGAUGGUAGACUUUCAGACUGCUCAUGCGAAGUUGGGUAGUCCAGACGAAAACAGUCGAGAGCACGAAUUUAAGGUCCCGAAUGAUGACUAAGUGAAAUUAAGGAUGUGACACAUUGAAUGCAGCUGUAAAGUGAGCCUGGUAGUCGCUACUUUUAAUGAACGUAUAGUAACAACGCAUCAGCCCAAACCUUCAAUAACUUAUGACACCUGUUUUAAAUUAUAAAGGCAAGAUUGUUGCACCGAAAAUUCAACGGGUCUAAGUAAUCAACCGAUAUCGUGCUGCUUUAUUUCAUAUAUUAAUAGAAUAAAAGUUCAUUAAUUUAUUGUAAUAAGGUGAGGUAGUAGAACAUUCAGAACGAUUGAAAAAUAGUGUUUCAUUGUUUUGACGUAACUGAAGAGAGAAUGCUGACAUGAGUAACGAAAAAAGAAGUUAUAAUACUUCUCGCCGAAUGCGAAAGGGUUUCAGGGCAAGAUUAAAUCACCACUGAGUAAAUGCGGCCUCUAAGAAUUAAAACCAAAGUUUUAUUCGAUGAGUAAUAAACAGAAAGUCCUUAUAGAAAACUAAAAAUAAGGAAAGUUAAAAACUUUCUAUUUUUAGAAUUAGGGCCUAGAAAAGAAUGUUUAAAAUGACUACCGUACCCUAAACCGACACUGGUUCGCUGGUUGAGAAUACUAAGGCGUAGAGCGAAGACUUGUUAAGGAACUCGGCAAGAACCCUUCAAAAGUUAGGCGAAAAGAAGGACCACUUUAACUUCACUUAGCUAUAAGUGAAUAUUUCAGGUGGUGGCACAAAAUCGGAGGCCCCGACUGUUUACUUAAAACAUAAGAAUCUGCAAUGAUUAAUCUCGUGGUAUAGGUUCUGAAAUUUGCCCAAUGCCAUUAAUAUAAGUGCGGUUAUGAAAGUGACUAAUCGAAUGUCUGGUUAAUAGCGGUCUUAACUAUGAGGAUCCAAAGGUAGCAAAAUCAGUUGGCCAUUAAAUGUGGUCUUGUAUCAAUAAUGUAACGAUGGCCUCACUGUCUCUACAAGUCGCUCAGUGAAAUUGAAUUGUGAGUGCAGAUGCUCACUACCUCCGGGGGGACGGGAAGACCCUAUGCAGCUUUACUGUAGUUAGUUAUCACAUUAAUCUACAACAGGUCUGGUCAAUAGUGAUUAGGGAUGUCGAUAGACGGAAUAUGGAACACCUUCCGAUCAGAACUGGGUUAAUGUUUACCUUGAUCUCGUAAGGAGUUGAGGGAGAAUUGACUAAUUGACAGUUUGACUGGGGCGGUCGUCUUUAAUAGAGUAGCAAAGUACAUCCGAUUAUAUUUUAAAUAUUUUAAUAUUUGACCAAAUUAACAUUGUUUUAUCCAUUUUAAUCUGAAGUAUUAUUAUAAUUCUAAGCCUAAAGGGCUCUCAACUUAAAGUUUAUUUGAGGGUUUUUAAUAAAAGCCCAAUCAUAAAACUAAUUCAAAUAUUUAAUACUAAUUGAUAAAAGGAAUUUAAACAAUGCACCAAUAGUAGCUCUCCCACCAUAGAGAUGGGGUAAGGAUUAAAUUUCGUACCGAUUAUUGUGUGAAAAAAUAAUUAUAUCAUAAUUAUCAAAAAAAAAUACGAACUAAACUUAAUUUAUAAUACUUCUUUUUUUUUUAUAUAACAAUUUUUUUAAAUGUAGAGAUAAACUUAUAAAAAGAGAAUAAGAGAAUUAAAUUAAAUUUACUGAACUUUAUUUUCACUUUUCUUUCAUUUUUAUUUAAAAAGGUAGAGCUAGAAAUUGAAUGGGGAUCAAUCUGCCAGUGAAACGGCGGCGGAAAGAGCGUAAUGGCGGAAAGCAUGCCUAACUGAAAGACCUAUAAGUCGCACAGAUACGUAAGUAGGGCAUAGUGACCCUUCGAUAUAAUAUGGAAUAGACGGGGAUCAA
RNAcentral lists this ribosomal RNA (2250 nucleotides) under Gomphus sp. MG54. RNAcentral's name for it is "bacterial LSU rRNA". It matches the Rfam family "Bacterial large subunit ribosomal RNA", at positions 645 to 2452 of the family's 2925-position model. The record is from RNAcentral. Lineage: Eukaryota; Fungi; Basidiomycota; Agaricomycetes; Gomphales; Gomphaceae.